RNAcentral lists this long non-coding RNA (256 nucleotides) under Phoenix dactylifera (date palm). RNAcentral's name for it is "long non-coding RNA (PDAC_LNC001116)". The record is from RNAcentral. Lineage: Eukaryota; Viridiplantae; Streptophyta; Magnoliopsida; Arecales; Arecaceae.
AUUGGGUUUCAGGUUAGAUUAGGGUCAGGUUUGGAUGGUGUUUGGCUCAACCAUUUCCCAACCUUAUAUCGGGCAUGAUGGUUUCUAAUCCAAAUUGCAUCCGCUGCCAAAAAGGCCCACGCGCUUAAAUUGUUUUUAUACACGGUAACUGACUGCCCGUACACGAGGGUGCAGGCAACCAAUUUGAUUCGGCCAAAAUCAAACUAGGAUGGCGAUGGCCGAUGGGUCAUAGGCUAAACUUCCAGGCGUGCCGUCG